This is a long non-coding RNA of Chenopodium quinoa (quinoa), 1563 nucleotides long. RefSeq lists it as uncharacterized. The transcript has 4 exons. Lineage: Eukaryota; Viridiplantae; Streptophyta; Magnoliopsida; Caryophyllales; Amaranthaceae. The record is from RefSeq and is a predicted model, not a curated record.
AUUAGCCAUUGAAGGGAGUAACGUUAUGUAUCCAUAAUUUCUGCCUUUCCAGGAUAUGUUUACCUCUAUAUAUAUUUUUUCAAUAAGUGUUUUGUGCAUUGUGAGUAAGCCAUCUCUUCUAGGGGAAUGUAAAAGAAUUUUUCUAUGUGAAACCCUGCUGGCAGAAUUUUAUAGUAUUGUAUAAUACCUCCGUUUCUUUAUGUUCUUAAAAUUUUCCGUUUUUGUCUUUCUCAUAAUGUUUUUAACAUAUUUACUUUAUUCUGAGUAUGGCAAUGUCUUUUACUACCUUACCCGUCUUUUCUAACAAUAUGUACCCUUUCCACUCAAUUUCUUCUAUAUCCACCUCUCUUCUUACACCUACCACCUUUGUACACUCUUUAUCUUACAUUUUUCACCUUUUUCAUACACCCACCCACCUUUCACCCACACUCUCUCCUUUACCUUUAUACAUGUGCAAACAGCAAAUGAUAAGAACAUUAUGAAACAGAAGUAGUGUUAUUAAUGAUAAUUGUGACCAAGCUGUAUUGCGCAAGAGAUCCAGCCAUCUCCAAUUCUCAGCUUGAUGAACUUUUAUAAGCUUAUGAAUUUGCAUUUGCCUUGAUCCUUUGACUUAAGGUCUGGUUAUUUACAUACUUGAUCUAUUCCCUUAUCUAUCAAAUCUAAUUGCUUGUUAGUAAUUAGGAGGCCAGAGGACUUGAUGCAGGACCGCGACUUGUGAAGAAGUUGAUUGGAUUUGGAGAUAAACAGACUUCAAGAAUAGUAGCUCAAAUUGCUGAUGAAGAAGUUGCACAUGUUGCUGUUGGAGUAUAUUGGUUCUUCUCUGUUUGUCAAAAGAUGGGGCGAGUCCCUUGUCCACUUUCAAAGAAUUGCUAAAGGAUUAUGAUAUAGAAGUUAAAGGACCCUUCAAUUAUUCAGCUCGAGAUGAGGCUGGCCUGCCCCGCCAUUGGUAUGAUGCAUCAACUGAUGAUCAAAGCAAAGAGCAGCUUUCUGAGGUUUAUGAAAGACUUGCUCAUAUAAUUGAGAUGGAGAAAGAAAACGCCAGUUCAAGCAGCCACCCUAGGUGAUCCGGGAUUGUAAACCAGCUUGUGGAACUUUUCCACCCCAUUUUUCUCUUAAGCUAACUUGCGACUGUCAUUUGGCUAAUUCUUAUAACACCAUAUGUAACCUAUGAUCUAAAAAGUAUAUUCCGUGUUCUAACUUGUAAAGAUCAAUCUGUUUCUCUUUUAAGACAGUUGGAUGCAAGAUCUACUCCACGAAUAGGUGGUACAAACAUAGACGAUAUCAUCAAAACCUCUCUUUUCGUACCACUAGGGUUCCCUAUGUUGGUUUGGACGUUGGUGGAUGUAGGCUGCAUAAGUUUAGAGCUGAAAUAUUUGUAAAUUUUUUUUUAUGUAGUUAUUAGUGUAAUUUGUUGUCUACCACAUGAAAAUAUGAUGCUUUCCUUUCCUCCGCGGGAUUUUUGUUAAUGAGUUAUUUUUUGGGCAUGUGCUGCACAUGCUGAGGCUAUUUCGGUUGUUGGUUAGUUGAUUUGACUCAACAAACAAAUCGGGGCAAUGCUGAAAU